UGCUGUUAUGGCCAGGCUGUCGAAGUGCUUGUAUCACAUCUUAAUGAAGAGGAAAAUGGUAACCACCACAGCUUUAACAUCAGAUGGAUAGGAAGACCAGUACAUAAAUAAAAAGGAUAAUUCAGGCUCCAGAGCCAUUCCAUCUCUGCUCAGACAGCCAGCCUGACUGCCAAUAGUUUAAUAGAUCAAAUCCAAGAGUUGUCAACAUUCAGUACUUCAUGACAUCUGAAAUACACCUCAUACUUGCAAAAAUACUUGCAAAAACUUCAGCACUUCAGGAAAAAGAAUGCCAGCCUGAUUCUCCCAAGCCCUAUCUCACCCUUCCUCCUUAGUGCAGACAAAUGCAGAGUUGGAAGUGUUAGCAAGCUUUGA
Long non-coding RNA from Lepidothrix coronata (blue-crowned manakin), 372 nucleotides. RefSeq lists it as uncharacterized. The record is from RefSeq and is a predicted model, not a curated record. NCBI's taxonomy places the organism in Eukaryota, Metazoa, Chordata, Aves, Passeriformes, Pipridae. The transcript has 4 exons.